This 253-nucleotide ribosomal RNA is filed under the name uncultured bacterium. RNAcentral's name for it is "partial 16S ribosomal RNA". It matches the Rfam family "Bacterial small subunit ribosomal RNA", at positions 524 to 776 of the family's 1533-position model. The record is from RNAcentral.
UACGUAGGGUGCAAGCGUUGUCCGGAAUUAUUGGGCGUAAAGAGCUCGUAGGCGGUUUGUCGCGUCUGCUGUGAAAACCCGAGGCUCAACCUCAGGCCUGCAGUGGGUACGGGCAGACUAGAGUGCGGUAGGGGAGAUUGGAAUUCCUGGUGUAGCGGUGGAAUGCGCAGAUAUCAGGAGGAACACCGAUGGCGAAGGCAGAUCUCUGGGCCGUUACUGACGCUGAGGAGCGAAAGGGUGGGGAGCAAACAGG